UGUCGCAGAGUUUUUUCAGGCGCAUGUGCAUUUCUUGUUUACCUUUUAUAUUGACAACGUUAUUGUCCGGUUUAAAUAUUAUAGAUCAUUUAGGCUAAAAAAACAACCUGAGGCUUGAAUAUAAACAUCGUUUGACAUGUUUCUAUGAACUUUACGGAUACAAUUAGGAUUUUUUGUCUGAUUGUUUUGACUGAGUUUGAGCCUGUGGGUUACUGAAGAAAACACGCUAACAAAACAGAGGUUUUUGGAUUUAAAGAGACUUCAUCGAACAAAAUGAACAUUUAUUGAGUAAAUGAAUGUCUUCUGAUUGCCACCAUAUGAAGAUCAUCUAAGGGAGCCUUGAGGCUGGCUUUUCAACUGGUCCUGCAGUCGCCCCGGGGGGCAAUGAGGAGCCCAGGCUCAGCUGGCCAUAGUCAACCUGCCUGCCUUUCACUGGAAACUCACUCUCCUCUCCAGUCCCCAGCCCAGGCAUGGGGAACCAGGCCUAACCACCAUCCCUCUGGAUCAUGCCUGAGAGGGCCCAUGCGUCAAUGGGCACAGAACCUUGGGCUCCAGCCAGCAGCGCCACCCUUUGGUCCCUGUUGUUAACUAACACUCUGACACCCUUCAUCUGGAUCCUGAGAGGAAGGAGGUAGAGAGAGGGGCAGGCUGUUACCGCCAUAGUCAUCACACAGCCUGCUGGGCUGAGUUUUGGGAAGCCACAGCAGCACGCCUUUAAACACAGGAUCUGAAGAUUUCUCCUCCAGCGAAGGCAAAGACGGCCACAUCAUCAUUCUGAGUGAGUCACAGCGGACAAUGAGUUUGUCUUCAGACCUGGCAUCCUAGGAAAGGCACAACCUACUCUAAAGACUUGUCAAUCAACCAAAUUGCGACAUGCUGUUCAUUAAAAGUUUAAGAAGUCAUCAACAUUGACAAACAACCUCAGAGUGCUGCCCUGCAAACUGUAAACACCAACUGUCCACCGCAACAAACCAUUUGACUUUUAAAUGUAAUCUAGCCCAUGCCCCAUUUAACCGCGAACACAGUUAUACGGCAAAUUAAAAAAUGUAUCCACCUGUGGGUUGUCUCUCAUAAAUAAACAUGUCCAAGAAAAGUGAUUACUGGGUUAUCAGCGCCCGUCCUGUGCCACAGUGCCAUCCCAGGUGAGGGAUGGAGGAGAUAGCUGUCAGGAACUCAACUAAUUUCCUCCCAUCGCAGACAUAGCCUGAGGACCUGAGGCCCCUGCCAUCCCCACUCUCUCCACCAUCUCUCCCCAGUCUCCCUUCUGCCUGUCCCCCACGCAGCUGCUCCUGCUGUUGUCAAGAGCUGCUAGUUGUGGGGCUCCUGGGAUUUUCACCAGAAUCUCUCGUUAAUCUUAAUCUCCCAUUCCUCUUUCCUGAAGCUGCGAACAGAAACCACAAUAACAUGCAGAGGAGCAUCCAAUGAAGGAGGAAGGAUAAGCCUGGAGUUUUUUUUCAUUAUUUGUUUUCUAAUGUUGUUUCUUUUACAAGUGAGAUACAGUAUACUGCUAGGUGAGGUAAUUCAGUUUAAGGAAGUUAAUAAACCACUAUUAGCCCACAAACCUUAUUUAUGGUCUGUAAUUGACUUCUUCAUAUCUAUGAAAUAUGUUUCUCCGUUCCUAAAAUAACACAUUCCAUUUGAAUGUCAUCUCUUUCACUGCCAUAGUAUUACAUAUUGACUCUGUAAAGAAAAGAAUGGACU
Long non-coding RNA from Oncorhynchus keta (chum salmon), 1701 nucleotides. RefSeq lists it as uncharacterized. The record is from RefSeq and is a predicted model, not a curated record. The transcript is spliced from 4 exons. NCBI's taxonomy places the organism in Eukaryota, Metazoa, Chordata, Actinopteri, Salmoniformes, Salmonidae.